RNAcentral lists this transfer RNA (91 nucleotides) under Clostridiales bacterium. RNAcentral describes it as "tRNA-Ser". It matches the Rfam family "tRNA". From Rfam's summary of the family: Transfer RNA (tRNA) molecules are approximately 80 nucleotides in length. Their secondary structure includes four short double-helical elements and three loops (D, anti-codon, and T loops). Further hydrogen bonds mediate the characteristic L-shaped molecular structure. tRNAs have two regions of fundamental functional importance: the anti-codon, which is responsible for specific mRNA codon recognition, and the 3' end, to which the tRNAs corresponding amino acid is attached (by aminoacyl-tRNA synthetases). tRNAs cope with the degeneracy of the genetic code in two manners: having more than one tRNA (with a specific anti-codon) for a particular amino acid; and 'wobble' base-pairing, i.e. permitting non-standard base-pairing at the 3rd anti-codon position. Lineage: Bacteria; Bacillati; Bacillota; Clostridia; Eubacteriales. The record is from RNAcentral.
GGAGAGUUGGCUGAGUGGUCGAAGGCGCACGAUUGGAAAUCGUGUGUACCCUAAUUGGGUACCUAGGGUUCAAAUCCCUAACUCUCCGCCA